RNAcentral lists this ribosomal RNA (425 nucleotides) under uncultured bacterium. RNAcentral describes it as "partial 16S ribosomal RNA". It matches the Rfam family "Bacterial small subunit ribosomal RNA", at positions 354 to 796 of the family's 1533-position model. The record is from RNAcentral.
GUGGGGAAUCUUAGACAAUGGGGGAAACCCUGAUCUAGCCAUGCCGCGUGAGCGAUGAAGGCCUUAGGGUUGUAAAGCUCUUUCAGCUGGGAAGAUAAUGACUGUACCAGCAGAAGAAGCCCCGGCUAACUCCGUGCCAGCAGCCGCGGUAAUACGGAGGGGGCUAGCGUUGUUCGGAAUUACUGGGCGUAAAGCGCACGUAGGCGGACCGGAAAGUAAGAGGUGAAAUCCCAGGGCUCAACCUUGGAACUGCCUUUGAAACUCCUGGUCUUGAGGUCGAGAGAGGUGAGUGGAAUUCCGAGUGUAGAGGUGAAAUUCGUAGAUAUUCGGAGGAACACCAGUGGCGAAGGCGGCUCACUGGCUCGAUACUGACGCUGAGGUGCGAAAGCGUGGGGAGCAAACAGGAUUAGAAACCCUUGUAGUCC